RNAcentral lists this ribosomal RNA (460 nucleotides) under uncultured bacterium. RNAcentral describes it as "partial 16S ribosomal RNA". It matches the Rfam family "Bacterial small subunit ribosomal RNA", at positions 338 to 795 of the family's 1533-position model. The record is from RNAcentral.
CCUACGGGUGGCAGCAGUGAGGAAUAUUGGUCAAUGGGCGGAAGCCUGAACCAGCCAAGUCGCGUGAGGGAAUAAGGCCCUACGGGUCGUAAACCUCUUUUGCCGGGGAGCAAGGGCCGGGACGAGUCCCGGUCCGGAGAGUACCCGGAGAAAAAGCAUCGGCUAACUCCGUGCCAGCAGCCGCGGUAAUACGGAGGAUGCGAGCGUUAUCCGGAUUUAUUGGGUUUAAAGGGUGCGUAGGCGGAAGGUUAAGUCAGCGGUAAAAUGUCGGUACUCAACACCGGCCUGCCGUUGAAACUGGUCUUCUUGAGUGAGCGAGAAGUAUGCGGAAUGCGUGGUGUAGCGGUGAAAUGCAUAGAUAUCACGCAGAACUCCGAUUGCGAAGGCAGCAUACCGGCGCUCAACUGACGCUGAGGCACGAAAGCGUGGGGAUCGAACAGGAUUAGAUACCCUAGUAGUC